Mauremys mutica (yellowpond turtle) is the source of this 363-nucleotide long non-coding RNA. RefSeq lists it as uncharacterized. The transcript has 3 exons. The record is from RefSeq and is a predicted model, not a curated record. Lineage: Eukaryota; Metazoa; Chordata; Testudines; Geoemydidae.
AAGAGUCUUCUAUUUAGAGAGCUGGGUUCUAAUCUUCUCUUGAGAAGCUUUCGGUGCCGGAGGCCUGGCCCUAUUAUAGGGGGUGUGAAGGCACAGAAUUACAAACGCUAUUCAGCAGAAGACCUCACUGUCCUCCUUUACAGCGAUGUAUACGGAGGGGGGGUAGGUGCGUCCGUCGUGGACGGUGUCCCCCCAAAAGAAUCAUUGGACGCUGCACUCCCCGGUGUGUUUGCUGUAGACGAAACUUCCUGGAAGAGUGACAGCAUCAGAGAUCAUCAAUGCAGAAUUUCUGGGAAUCUGGGAGAUGACGUCCUGCUUCGAAAAUCAUUGGAGAAAAUCCACAAGGGAACCUUUCUAUCAUCC